Molecule: long non-coding RNA, 2441 nt
Organism: Numida meleagris (helmeted guineafowl)
Lineage: Eukaryota; Metazoa; Chordata; Aves; Galliformes; Numididae
Exons: 3
Source: RefSeq, a predicted model, not a curated record
AAUACACUUGUAAAGAUCUUACAGAAGUAGAUUUUGCUGAAGCAAAGGGAGGGGAUGAGGCUGAAAUCCUAUUUGGAAGACAGGUGAAAACUGUCAUCAAUCUGUUUCAGUAAUAUGAUUAUUUGAAUGAGUAUCAGGUGGGACUUCCCCAUAAAGAAAAAAAAAAAAAAAGGAAACCCAGGGUAAAAAGAGCUGAAAUUAUAGGAGAAGGAAGAAAGGGGGUGAUGGAGAUAGGGGCUGUGGCACUGGCAAUACAGCUGCUUUUAGGGACUACAAGAAGGAGUGAAAAAUACCACCAAGGGAAUCCAGCCAGGUGGUUAUAAAGUAUGAUAAAAUAGGAUUUAGGGGAACAGCUUGCAGCAUGCCAUGCUGGGAUACAGGAUCUUGUGUUGUCUUGUGAUUGUGAGCCUGGGUCUCCGUUACGAUUGUGCUGCUAUGAGUGCCAGCACUGUGCCUGGAAAGUGGAUCAGCUGAGCCUUGAAUGCUACCUGCUGCUUUUCCCAGUGAGUCUAAAGCCAGCCUACCUCUGUGGAGCUUCACCACUGAGCUCAUACCCAGUACACCGCAUUCAACAUCUCUCAGCCGAAAUCCUCCUAGUCAAGGCAAACUCAAUCAUCUGACAGAGGUCACGAAGCAAACGAGGAAUCGUCCCAACGAUACCAACACAAGGCAUUAAAAGGGAUCGAGAGUUAGUUGAGUAAGUCUGCGAAACAAUUUGCAUUUCAAAUCUCAGGCAAGCAGCUGUGUAAUUUCUGCCUGUAGAUUCACCGCUGCGAUGUUCAUUAUCUGAUUAUCACUACCUACCAACCUUCCAAGCACUAAUGCACAUUGUCUUCUUGGCUCUUGAGUUACUGACAUGUGUCUGACACUGAAUCUGCGAGUAAUUGCUAUGGCUCCCCUCAAUGAAGCAUCUCUGAGGACGCUCUUGGAAAUAAAAUGUUCCUUCUCAAGCCACUAUUUGCUUACUCAAUCCCUAUCUUAUUAAAUAAUUAUCAAGUAAAAAUGUUAAUUUGAAAUAUGCGUGUCACGCUUGGGGAACAAAAGAACUGGAGAUGACAAGAUUCUCAGUGGAUUAAUGCUGAAGUAUUUCUUUCCUCCAUCAUGCUGUCUUCCAGGCUCCUGCUAUGACCUAACCAAAACGUGUGCAUGAUCCAACUCAAUGCUACUUUGAGAUUUCUGUCCUGAGUUCAUAGUGCUACAAAUGUUGUGGGUCAUAUAUCUUUAUUUAACAACCAUAAGCUCAACCAUAAUAUCCUCUUCUUUCUUUCCACUCUUUAUUUCUCAAGCAGUGUCAAGACACUUUAACUUUCCCUGAAAGUACUAAUAGAAGGAAAACACUAGGUUGUAACCAACUAAAUUCUGCUUGUCUUGGGCUGAUUUCUGGGAUCAUUCUUUCAACAGCAAGAAACUGAGUUUGUUUUGCCCACAUCUUCCCUUUCGUGACCUAAAGAAUUGUCAGUUUUCCACCUAUAAUAUAAUAGAAUCCUCUUAAAGUGUUCUGUGCUACCAAGAUGAUCCACUAUACUUCUGCGCUCAAAGCAGCUAAUUGAAGAAGAAAAAUAAGUAAAGGCUGAAACCAGGCACCCAUUUUUGCACUGUACCUUUAUAUACCUUCCCCACUCCAUUAAAGAACAGAGCUUCCAACAAGUUUGUUUCAACUCUUGUAAAAGAAACAAGGGGGUAACUGGUCCUCUGAGUCUUGCUUGAAGGAACUGGAUUGUGCUAUGCCUGCAAGUGUUGUUCACAGUAGUAAAUCUAAGCUUUCUGGAUAGCUUUUUCUCAUAGUACAAAAUACACAUUUCUGUUGUUUAAAAUAUAUCUCGUAUGUAAUCUCACUUCAAUUCUCAAUGUUUAUAAUGAACUGUAAAUAUUUAUAGCAGUGUGAUUAUAGUGAAAUUACUUGAGACUUACACGGCCAUAAGCAAGACCAUAAUCUGAUCCACUGUCCCUUCAGCAAAGGAUUUUAUAAGGUGGGGAUCAAAUUUGUAGAUCUCUAUUCAGAGGUAACAGAAACAGACAAACAAAUAAGAAAUCAUCUUACUGCAGUCAGAUUUUGGCUCGAGAUUUAUGUGAAAUAUAUUCUUCUUCACCUUAAAAUAAAUGUCCUUUCAUUCACGGUGAGUAGUUUGCUAUAGUUUCAGUUCAUUUUCCUUUCUCAGAGCUCUAUGGCACUUGCACUGUUCACCCUUUAUUUUCACAGUCGCAGCUUGAAGAAAUUAAAUAUUGGAAUAUAGUAGAAAUGGAGGAGGCUCUGUUUCUCAUGUAAUCUGUACUUGGGAAGAGCUGUGGCUGAUGUUAAAUAUGUUCCUCCUAGAGUGGGCCUUUUUUGUUCUCUGGCAAAUCUAUUUUCUUCCGUCUCUAGGAGUAAGCACUUAUAUAAACCAAAACAAAUCCUGUGUUUCUGUAUCUUAUCAGCAUUUGUAAAUGGUAGAGAACACAUG